This 1696-nucleotide long non-coding RNA is filed under the name Sinocyclocheilus anshuiensis. RNAcentral's name for it is "lncRNA (ENSSANG00000002387.1)". The record is from RNAcentral. Lineage: Eukaryota; Metazoa; Chordata; Actinopteri; Cypriniformes; Cyprinidae.
CUCCUCUCCAACCCCCUGCACUGUUCCCACAAGUUGCAGUCACUGGACCGCAGUGUGUUUGGCCCUUUCAAGAAGAUGGUUUACACCUUCUCUGACAGCUGGAUGAGGCAUCAUCCUGGAACAACCAUGUCCAUUUACUACAUACCAGCAAUUGUAAGGGAUUCUUUCCCAAUGGCUGCCACACCAUCAAAUAUCCAGGCUGGCUUCAUGUGCACAGGCACGAUGCUGAUUUUGCACCAUCCUGCGUCACUGACCGUCCACACAAUCCUGAGACAUCAGUCACUGGUCCAGCUUCCACUGCGUCCAUCGCCUCCACUGUGUCUGCAGCUGGACAGUUCUCCAUCUCCUCCGUGCCUGCCACUGCACCACCUUCCUUCUCCUCCACCGUGUCUGCGGCUGGACAGUUCUCCAUCUCCUCCGUGCCUGCCACUGCACCAUCUUCCAUCAUCUCCUCCGUGCCUGCCACUGCAUCACCUUCCUUCUCCUCCACCCUGUCUGGGGAUGGGCAGUUCUCCAUCUCCUCCGUGCUUGCCACUGCACCACCUUCCUUCUCCUCCACCGUGUCUGGGGAUGGGAAGUUCUCCAUCUCCUCCGUGCCUGCCACUGCACCAUCUUCCAUCAUCUCCUCCGUGCCUGCCACUGCAUCACCUUCCUUCUCCUCCACCCUCAUCUCCUCCGUGCCUGCCACUGCACCACCUUCCUUCUCCUCCACCGUGUCUGGGGAUGGGCAGUUCUCCAUCUCCUCCGUGCCUGCCACUGCACCACCUUCCUUCUCCUCCACUGUGUCUGGGGAUGGGCAGUUCUCCAUCUCUUCCGUGCCUGCCACUGCACCACAUUCCUUCACCUCCACCGUGUCUGAGGAUGGACAGUUCUCCAUCUCCUCCGUGCCUGCCACUGCACCACCUUCCUUCUCCUCCACCGUGUCUGGGGAUGGGCAGUUCUCCAUCUCCUCCGUGUCUGCUACUGCACCACAUUUCUUCUCCUCCACCGUGUCUGGGGAUGGGCAUUUCUCCAUCUCCUCCGUGCCUGCCACUGCACCACCUUCCAUCAUCUCCUCCGUGCCUGCCAAUGCACCACCUUCCUUCUCCUCCACUGCCUGCCACUGCACCACCUUCCUUCUCCUCCACCGUGUCUGGGGAUGGGCAGUUCUCCAUCUCCUCCGUGUCUGCUACUGCACCACAUUUCUUCUCCUCCACCGUGUCUGGGGAUGGGCAUUUCUCCAUCUCCUCCGUGCCUGCCACUGCACCACCUUCCAUCAUCUCCUCCGUGCCUGCCACUGCAUCACCUUCCUUCGCCUCCACCGUGCGUGCCACUGCAUCCAUCUCUGGGACACCCUACAUCGCCUUAAAUGUACCUACAAUUGGGCCUUUCUCCACCACUUCCACUGUGCAUGUCCCUGGACCAAGUUCCUUUGCCUCCACCAUGCCUGCUGCUGGAACAUCUUCCUUGAUCAUUGAGGAUUUUUUGCCUAUCUUGGUGAGGCCAUUCCCAAAAGCAGGGCCCCGAAAGACAACUAAGACCAGAAAAAGGAGAACGACUGAAAUUCUUACAGACACACCUGUCAGGAAUUCCUUUGAGGAAGAGCAGGAGAAGGCACCCGUCUCCAAAGUAAAAAGAAAGAUCUUUGCAACAAAGGAGAAAAUGGUAAAGAAAGGAAAGAAGUACACAAAAGAAAAUGAGGAUAAGACUGUGGAGG